GGCAGCAGUGGGGAAUAUUGGACAAUGGGCGCAAGCCUGAUCCAGCCAUGCCGCGUGAGUGAUGAAGGCCUUAGGGUUGUAAAGCUCUUUCACUGGGGAAGAUAAUGACGGUACCCAGAGAAGAAGCCCCGGCUAACUUCGUGCCAGCAGCCGCGGUAAUACGAAGGGGGCUAGCGUUGUUCGGAAUCACUGGGCGUAAAGCGCACGUAGGCGGACUUUUAAGUCAGGGGUGAAAUCCCAAGGCUCAACCUUGGAACUGCCUUUGAUACUGGAAGUCUUGAGUUCGGGAGAGGUGAGUGGAACUGCGAGUGUAGAGGUGAAAUUCGUAGAUAUUCGCAAGAACACCAGUGGCGAAGGCGGCUCACUGGCCCGAUACUGAC
This 380-nucleotide ribosomal RNA is filed under the name Methylopila oligotropha. Its description in RNAcentral is "bacterial SSU rRNA". It matches the Rfam family "Bacterial small subunit ribosomal RNA", at positions 347 to 744 of the family's 1533-position model. The record is from RNAcentral. Lineage: Bacteria; Pseudomonadati; Pseudomonadota; Alphaproteobacteria; Hyphomicrobiales; Methylopilaceae.